This 541-nucleotide ribosomal RNA is filed under the name Niallia circulans. RNAcentral's name for it is "bacterial SSU rRNA". It matches the Rfam family "Bacterial small subunit ribosomal RNA", at positions 104 to 630 of the family's 1533-position model. Lineage: Bacteria; Bacillati; Bacillota; Bacilli; Caryophanales; Bacillaceae. The record is from RNAcentral.
GGGUGAGUAACACGUGGGCAACCUGCCUGUAAGACUGGGAUAACUUCGGGAAACCGGAGCUAAUACCGGAUAAUCCUUUUCCUCUCAUGAGGAAAAGCUGAAAGACGGUUUACGCUGUCACUUACAGAUGGGCCCGCGGCGCAUUAGCUAGUUGGUGAGGUAACGGCUCACCAAGGCGACGAUGCGUAGCCGACCUGAGAGGGUGAUCGGCCACACUGGGACUGAGACACGGCCCAGACUCCUACGGGAGGCAGCAGUAGGGAAUCUUCCGCAAUGGACGAAAGUCUGACGGAGCAACGCCGCGUGAGUGAUGAAGGUUUUCGGAUCGUAAAACUCUGUUGUUAGGGAAGAACAAGUACAAGAGUAACUGCUUGUACCUUGACGGUACCUAACCAGAAAGCCACGGCUAACUACGUGCCAGCAGCCGCGGUAAUACGUAGGUGGCAAGCGUUGUCCGGAAUUAUUGGGCGUAAAGCGCGCGCAGGCGGUCCUUUAAGUCUGAUGUGAAAAGCCCACGGCUCAACCGUGGAGGGUCAUUGGA